CCUCCUCUUUCUCCUCCUAAAUUCUUUUUUCUUUUUUUUUCUGUAAAACAAAAUCAUUUUAGAAGAAGAUGAUGACGAUGAGAUCAGUUUUUGCAGUCCCUAGUCAGUCUCUGGUACAACUGGUCGAAGACGAAAAUGAAGAAGGAGAUGAAGACAGAGACAACGACGGCGAUGGUGACGAAGACGGCGAUUAAGACAUAUAUGACGACAGCUAGAAUGAAUAUAAGCUCUCUGCUUUCACCUACCCAGCUCAAUCAAUCAACCACAAUAAUCAAAGCGAGGAGAAUCAGUAGGGAAUUCAACAUUGAGAAGUUGCAUGCUCGGAACAGAUAAGAAGACAAAGUAUAAGAAGAAGGAGAAGUCGGUUGGUUAGAAACGUUUAAACAAUUUUGUUGCUUCCCAUUUUAUGUGAUUGACAAAGAAUAAGAUGAUUUUAGAGUUAUCUUGUUCAUAAACAAACUUGAUUAAUUUAUAAAAGCAUAUUGAGAAAUAUGGUGUACAUGUGUACACGUUUUGUUGUACAUAAUGAAACAUACAACUGCCUACUAGUGAGGUGUACAUGUGUACACAUGUAAACCAAUGUACAUAUGGACAAUGUCUAAACUAAUGUACAUGUGUACUUAUGCGAACAAUGUACAUUCAUCAA
Long non-coding RNA from Brassica oleracea var. oleracea, 646 nucleotides. RefSeq lists it as uncharacterized. The record is from RefSeq and is a predicted model, not a curated record. Lineage: Eukaryota; Viridiplantae; Streptophyta; Magnoliopsida; Brassicales; Brassicaceae. The transcript is spliced from 3 exons.